Molecule: ribosomal RNA, 466 nt
Filed under: uncultured bacterium
Lineage: Bacteria
Description: partial 16S ribosomal RNA
Rfam family: Bacterial small subunit ribosomal RNA
Source: RNAcentral
GAUGAACGCUGGCGGCGUGCUUAACACAUGCAAGUCGAACGAUGAAGCCCAGCUUGCUGGGUGGAUUAGUGGCGAACGGGUGAGUAACACGUGAGUAACCUGCACUUAACUCUGGGAUAAGCCUGGGAAACUGGGUCUAAUACCGGAUAGGAGCGUCCACCGCAUGGUGGGUGUUGGAAAGAUUUAUCGGUUUUGGAUGGACUCGCGGCCUAUCAGCUUGUUGGUGAGGUAAUGGCUCACCAAGGCGACGACGGGUAGCCGGCCUGAGAGGGUGACCGGCCACACUGGGACUGAGACACGGCCCAGACUCCUACGGGAGGCAGCAGUGGGGAAUAUUGCACAAUGGGCGCAAGCCUGAUGCAGCGACGCCGCGUGAGGGAUGACGGCCUUCGGGUUGUAAACCUCUUUCAGUAGGGAAGAAGCGAAAGUGACGGUACCUGCAGAAGAAGCACCGGCUAACUACGUG